AGAACGAACGCUGGCGGCAGGCCUCAAACAUGCAAGUCUAGGGGGUGUAGCAAUACAUCACCGGCGGACGGGUGCGUAACACGUGGGAAUAUACCUUUCGGUACGGAACAACUGCGGGAAACUGCAGCUAAUACCGUAUACGUCCUAGCGGAGAAAGAUUUAUCGCCGAAGGAUUAGCCCGCGUUCGAUUAGCUAGUUGGUGAGGUAAUGGCUCACCAAGGCGACGAUCGAUAGCUGUUCUGAGAGGAAGAUCAGCCACACUGGGACUGAGACACGGCCCAGACUCCUACGGGAGGCAGCAGUUGGGAAUCUUGGACAAUGGGGGAAACCCUGAUCCAGCCAUGCCGCGUGAGUGAUGAAGGCCUUCGGGUUGUAAAACUCUUUCGACGGGACGAUAAUGACGGUACCCGUAGAAGAAGCUCCGGCUAACUUCGUGCCAGCAGCCGC
This 447-nucleotide ribosomal RNA is filed under the name uncultured bacterium. RNAcentral describes it as "SSU rRNA". It matches the Rfam family "Bacterial small subunit ribosomal RNA", at positions 26 to 518 of the family's 1533-position model. The record is from RNAcentral.